This 1188-nucleotide ribosomal RNA is filed under the name bacterium MSW-B2:10. Its description in RNAcentral is "bacterial SSU rRNA". It matches the Rfam family "Bacterial small subunit ribosomal RNA", at positions 136 to 1311 of the family's 1533-position model. The record is from RNAcentral.
GACUGGGAUAACUUCGGGAAACCGGAGCUAAUACCGGAUAAUAUUUCGAACCGCAUGGUUCGAUAGUGAAAGAUGGCUCUGCUAUCACUUAUAGAUGGACCUGCGCCGUAUUAGCUAGUUGGUAAGGUAACGGCUUACCAAGGCAACGAUACGUAGCCGACCUGAGAGGGUGAUCGGCCACACUGGAACUGAGACACGGUCCAGACUCCUACGGGAGGCAGCAGUAGGGAAUCUUCCGCAAUGGGCGAAAGCCUGACGGAGCAACGCCGCGUGAGUGAUGAAGGUCUUCGGAUCGUAAAACUCUGUUAUUAGGGAAGAACAAACGUGUAAGUAACUGUGCACGUCUUGACGGUACCUAAUCAGAAAGCCACGGCUAACUACGUGCCAGCAGCCGCGGUAAUACGUAGGUGGCAAGCGUUAUCCGGAAUUAUUGGGCGUAAAGCGCGCGUAGGCGGUUUUUUAAGUCUGAUGUGAAAGCCCACGGCUCAACCGUGGAGGGUCAUUGGAAACUGGAAAACUUGAGUGCAGAAGAGGAAAGUGGAAUUCCAUGUGUAGCGGUGAAAUGCGCAGAGAUAUGGAGGCACACCAGUGGCGAAGGCGACUUUCUUGUCUGUAACUGACGCUGAUGUGCGAAAGCGUGGGGAUCACACAGGAUUAGAUCCCGUGGUAGUACACGCUGUAAGCGAUGAGUGAUAAGUGUUAGGGGGUUUCCGCCCUUUAGUGGUGCAGAUAACGCAUUAAGCACUCCGCGUGGGGAGUACGACCGCAAGGUUGAAACUCAAAGGAAUUGACGGGGACCCGCACAAGCGGUGGAGCAUGUGGUUUAAUUAGAAGCAACGAGAAGCACCUUACCAAAUCUUGACAUCCUUUGACCUUUAUAGAGAUAGAAGUUUCCUUUCGGGGGACAAAGUGACAGGUGGUGCAUGGUUGUUGUCAGCUCGUGUCGUGAGAUGUUGGGUUAAGUCCCGCAACGAGCGCAACCCUUAAGUUUAGUUGCCAUCAUUAAGUUGGGCACUAUAAGUUGACCGCCGGUGACAAACCGGAGGAAGGUGGGGAUGACGUCAAAUCAUCAUGCCCCUUAUGAUUUGGGCUACACACGUGCUACAAUGGACAAUACAAAGGGCAGCGAAACCGCGAGGUCAAGCAAAUCCCAUAAAGUUGUUCUCAGUUCGGAUUGUUGUCCGCAAC